AGAGUUUGAUCAUGGCUCAGAACGAACGCUGGCGGCGCGCCUAAUACAUGCAAGUCGAGCGAGAAGACGUAGCAAUACGUUUGUAAAGCGGCGAACGGGUGAGGAAUACAUGGGUAACCUACCCUCGAGUGGGGAAUAACUAGCCGAAAGGUUAGCUAAUACCGCAUACGACUCCUGGUCUGCGGAUCGGGAGGGAAAGCGAUACCGUGGGUAUCGCGCUCUUGGAUGGGCUCAUGUCCUAUCAGCUUGUUGGUGAGGUAACGGCUCACCAAGGCUUCGACGGGUAGCUGGUCUGAGAGGACGAUCAGCCACACUGGCACUGCGACACGGGCCAGACUCCUACGGGAGGCAGCAGUAAGGAAUAUUGCGCAAUGGGCGACAGCCUGACGCAGCGACGCCGCGUGGGGGAUGAAGGUCUUCGGAUUGUAAACCCCUUUCGGCAGGGAAGAUGGAAUGGGUAACCAUUCGGACGGUACCUGCAGAAGCAGCCACGGCUAACUUCGUGCCAGCAGCCGCGGUAAUACGAAGGUGGCAAGCGUUGUUCGGAUUUACUGGGCGUACAGGGAGCGUAGGCGGUUGGGUAAGCCCUCCGUGAAAUCUCCGGGCCUAACCCGGAAAGUGCGGAGGGGACUGCUCGGCUAGAGGAUGGGAGAGGAGCGCGGAAUUCCCGGUGUAGCGGUGAAAUGCGUAGAGAUCGGGAGGAAGGCCGGUGGCGAAGGCGGCGCUCUGGAACAUUUCUGACGCUGAGGCUCGAAAGCGUGGGGAGCAAACAGGAUUAGAUACCCUGGUAGUCCACGCCU
RNAcentral lists this ribosomal RNA (800 nucleotides) under uncultured bacterium. RNAcentral's name for it is "bacterial SSU rRNA". It matches the Rfam family "Bacterial small subunit ribosomal RNA", at positions 8 to 802 of the family's 1533-position model. The record is from RNAcentral.